UUGACGGGACCGCACAAGCGGUGGAUGAUGUGGUUUAAUUCGAUGCAACGCGAAAACCUUACCCACCUUGACAUGGCAGGAAUCCUGAAGAGACUUGGGAGUGCUCGAAAGAGAACCUGCACACAGGUGCUGCAUGGCUGUCGUCAGCUCGUGUCGUGAGAUGUUGGGUUAAGUCCCGCAACGAGCGCAACCCUUGCCAUUAGUUGCUACGAAAGGGCACUCUAAUGGGACUGCCGGUGACAAACCGGAGGAAGGUGGGGAUGACGUCAAGUCCUCAUGGCCCUUAUAGGUGGGGCUACACACGUCAUACAAUGGCCGGUACAGAGGGUAGCCAACCCGCGAGGGGGAGCCAAUCCCACAAAGCCAGUCGUAGUCCGGAUCGCAGUCUGCAACUCGACUGCGUGAAGUCGGAAUCGCUAGUAAUCGUGGAUCAGCAUGUCACGGUGAAUACGUUCCCGGGUCUU
RNAcentral lists this ribosomal RNA (464 nucleotides) under uncultured Allobrachymonas sp. RNAcentral's name for it is "bacterial SSU rRNA". It matches the Rfam family "Bacterial small subunit ribosomal RNA", at positions 910 to 1382 of the family's 1533-position model. Lineage: Bacteria; Pseudomonadati; Pseudomonadota; Betaproteobacteria; Burkholderiales; Comamonadaceae. The record is from RNAcentral.